This 275-nucleotide unclassified non-coding RNA is filed under the name Hevea brasiliensis (rubber tree). The record is from RNAcentral. Lineage: Eukaryota; Viridiplantae; Streptophyta; Magnoliopsida; Malpighiales; Euphorbiaceae.
AUAUAUAUAUAUAUAUAUAUACAGUUGGGUUUAGAUGAACAUUUCCAAACAAUUGUGGGUACAGAUGACUGCUAUGUACCAUAUCUGGGUGUCCUAGCAACAGCAACAUUAGGAGCUAUGUCUAGUCUCACGUUGGUUUUCCACACUUCUUAUUAGGUGUACCAAUCUAUACUAUCGAGUUACUCCUCUUUAUAUAGAAGUUUGUAACUGAUUGUUUCCAACCUUUGCAGGGGAAAGUCAACAUUGCUGCGAAACCUGGUGUGAAAUUGGAAAUA